UCAAGCUCUCUCUCUUCACCACAUGUCCUAGAAACAAAAUAAUGUAACAUUAAUGACCAUAUAAAAGUGUGGAGAGCAAGACUUACUCCACAUGAAUUUGUACAGUCUAAAGACAUCCUGUUCCAGUCUCCACCACAGCAGUGAGUGAAAUAACUUUUAAAAUGUUCAUUCAAAACUUCAAUGGAAGAUUUGCAUGCUAUUAUCAUUCUCUAAAGUUGAGAGAAAACUCUGUAAAGAAAACAGUACCUCACCAUGGUUAAGUAACUUCAAUCUACUGCUGUUUUAUUUUACAUCAUUGUGCUAGAGCAGAACAGAUCCUUAGUUCAGGUAAGGUUAUUAACUCACUUUUUCUUACUGCCAGCUUCAUGCCUAUCUUUCUUUUCCUCUGUGUUCUCUCCGUUGUGUUGUGACUGGUUGGUAUCUUGAGCUUCAGACCCUCCAUUGAGAACCUUUGAACCUUUAAAAUUAAAGGGCAGGGAAAGAAAACAGUACUGCAGGCAGCAAAACUGUGUUAUAAAAAGCCCUAGAUAAUUUCUUUACCUUCAUCCACUCAAACACUAUAAAUGUUUUCCCCUUACCUUGAUACCCAGCAGCUGAAACAAUACAAAAUGCAUAAAGUGAUACAGCUUUAACUUCCUAAAACUCCAUGCAAUGAGCCUCAUCCCAUAAUUUUAAUAAUGGGAAAUGAACAGUGUACGUAUUUAAUGUGAUUUUGAGUUCUUUUGCUUGCUAGGCUACAGGUAAUAGGACUAAUGCUUAUUUAUUUUCUGAGCAGCUGGAGAAUAUACUUCAGCAGUAAAUGCUGUUUACCACUCUAACGUGGUCAGACAAUUUGGGGGGAUUUCUGAUACUUCCAACUGGAGAAGUUACUAAUUCCAUGGAUUCUUGUUUACUCUUAACUCUAACAAACAUGUAUAUAAUCAAAAUAUGACAAACAGUAUAUAUAAUUAGAGUAAAAGUGUUUAGUUAUAGCAUGCAAUUGUCAAGCAGGAAAACAAAGCACUAUGUAGAAGCUGUAUUUAGUGAAGGCAAAGCAGGAAUAUUUAACCGCUUUAAAGUUUCUGUGAUGAAUACAUGUUUUGCUCUAGUAGUACCAGCUAGUGAAUUUUGAGUGAAUUGUUGAGGAAUCUCACUAAGUCAGAAUUGACAAUCCAUUUUAUUUGAAGUUACAGGUUUAACAAAAGAACUCUAUUAAACUACUGUGCUACAGCAAGAAAAAGAUACAGGACAUUACUCAUCUGAAUACUUGCAGACUGAGAGAUGCUAAAAAGCAGACAAGAUCAUUUUAAGAUGACAUUCCAGUAGUUGGUCUACUUAGACUUGCUCAGAGUCUGUUCUGAACAUCAGUGCCAUGGGAGGAAUUCAAUGAAACAAUGAAUGCUACAAUCCCUUGUUACAAAGUGGAUAGUCUGAAGCUGUACUUCAGCUGAAGUACAAACCACUGUAAUUGUUGUGCUUCAUAAAGACAGUAAGAGUUCAGCGGUUCAAUUUUUAAAAAGGCAGAAGUACAAGUGUAAGGAACCAGCAUUUCUCUUUGUAGCAAAUAAAGAAAAAUCCAAUUCCAUUCAAUAAUCCCCUACUCUGAUAAAACUUCUUACCAUUUUCCAUUUGACUAGGCAACAACAUGGCAUUUCAGUGUGUUCCAUUGAAAUCUAGUGUUAACCUUACCAGGAGUAGCUACAUUAGUCAGGCUAUGUGUAGGUAGUCUUUCAGUUUAGAUUCUUUGUUGAAGUAUUAGCUGUGCUGAUCGCUGGGUUGGGGAAAGAUCUGUGUAUAACCUCUACUACAUCAUACAUACUUCUCUCACCAUAACGUGGUUGGAUUUUAUCAUCCUUGCUUUCUUAGAAGUUACAAAUAUGGUGGCAUUUCAACUACAGGUAUUCUGAAUCCUUGGCAUCCUCCAUUACCUCAGUUACAGUAACAUGUUUAUUCCAGAUCUGGGUGGUGUAACUUUCAAAACAGUUUUCUGAAACAGUUUUGGUCCCAGGAUUCAAGUUCAAAGUAAACUGCCUACGCUAAAGAUCUUUGAAGCAACUGUGCUCCAUGGAACAACCUCACAAGAGCUGGCUUUCCCUGUAAAUAAAGCCCAUUCAUCUUCAGAACAAUAAACUAUUGUGGUAGAACAAAGGAAAAAGAUUAUUUGUAAGUAUUUUUAAGAUCCCCACAACAGUGUUCCAAAACCCAGUUUUAAGCAGGUAAGUUCAUAUUUCUCCUACUCUUCCUUUAGAUGCCAUCAUCUCCCCUAGCUGCAUCACAGUAUCAAGCCAGUAGAUGGAGCUAUUCAGAAAGACACCUGCUUCUAGCUCUACAGCCAAUUAUUCACAAUGAAAAAUUGCACUAACGGAACAUAGUGACCUUCAUCUACAUAGUUGUUUUAGGGGGGCGGGUUGUAAAGAUAGACAGAACUUAUGACAAAAGAAGAUCUUGAUGAAAGGAUACAUAUCUCCUUGCAGAAACAUUCUAUAUCCAUACAUACAGACAAAAAGAAUUGAGAAAAAUGCCAAGUGGAAAAAUAUUAACAGAAUUUAGUGUCCUGUAUGCAGGAGCAUCAGCUAGCAGCAACAGAAAGUUAUAGGCAAUUACAUAUUUAUCUUAUUUUCUUUGUGGGCACCUAUAAUAAAAGACAACUUUAAGGAACAGAGAUAAACUUAAAUCUAGAACAGAGUAGAGGUGGAUCUCUUUCCAUCAGCCUGCAGAAAGACUGUUUAAAUGAAGACAAAAAAAUACCUGUUAGAAUGCUUUUUUUACAAUCCCAGGAAAAGAAAAUACCAUGUUUCUUAAGGCAAAUAAGAAAUGCAUUCAAAGUCAUAUAACUGCAUAGCCAACCCUCUAUUCUGACCCCCAAGCACACACCACAUCCCUUGAAAUACUAUGUUUUUCUGUUCAGCAGUGGCCUGUACUAACACAAAUUUCUGGUUAAACCCAUUGCCACAUGCAGCACAUGCCAAACACAGGUGUGUGUGUGUGUGUGUGAUCUGUGAGGCUUCUCUCCCAUUUACAAGCUGAAAUCACAUGUAUGCAUAGUCACAGACACUCUUCCAACUUCUUGCUGUUUCAGAGUAAAAGCUUUCUUAGAAUUUUAUUUUAGGUUUUUGUAAAAUUUACUUUUUUUAAAUAAGGUAUUCUUUAAAUUGUAAUUUUUAAAAUAUUCAAGUCAUUUUUGUAAGAGCAUCCAAACACAUAUCUUUCUUUUUAGUGAAGCAAAUGAUACUCAGCAUGCUACUGACCUGUGACGACUGUACUAAGGUCACAGUUACUUCGCACUCAUCCCAUCCCUGCUGUCAGCACUAAUGUUAAAAGUUAAAUUGUUUCAAAUUAAAAUUAAACUUUGCCCCACUUUAAUCUAGUUUUUAGUUGGGUCAGUGCCCUGAUCUUGCUUGCUGUGUGACCACAUGAACAUUAAGGCUGCAGCAUGCUGAACAAGCAGCUGGAACCGCCUCUUUCAAAGUAACUCCAAUUUUUUCCAGGUUGAAGAGACCACAAAAUCAGAACCUCAUGAAAAAGGGAGUGCAUUUCAGGCGUUAGUUCAGUGUGAUGAAGAUGUUAAAAGAGAUUUUUCAAAGCUUCAAAACAGACUAUUUUAUUAGUGGUCUAGCAACAGUUUAUAUCUUCGUUUUACUUACUUGCAAUGGACUGUUUGGGAAAACAUGGGAACUCCCUACUCUACAUUAAGUUCAAACAAAACUAAGAUUUGUAAAACACCCCCUGAGAAAACUUUCAAUCCUACAAAUCUUUCAGCCAUUUGAAAGGGGGGACGAAGGCAUCAAGCACUCAAAUUUACACAUAAUCUGUCAUUCCCAAAAAUAAUAUCCAGUAUAAUCACAUCCAAGAAUUCCAGUAAGGUGAAUUAAACAUAUAGUUACCUUCCUUUUUCUUCCUCUUCUAGCAACUUUAGCAAUAGAAGCAUCAUUUCUUUUCACCACAUCCUGUGAAGAUUAAAAAUGGUGCUAAGACUCUUAACAAAACAGAGAUACAUUUUAAAUUAUUCUAAGUUUUUUCCACAACUGAAGCCACGAAGACACCUCCUGCUUUUAAAUUAUUAAAAUCCUGGUUAUCUGGUAAUCAGGAUUUUUCUUUCUGAAAGAUAAGAAAUAAAACAAGUAGUAAAUAAUAAUCUGUUUUAAAUAAAGGUAUGUACUCAUGUUUUAGUCUGUCUGAACUCUUUAUCUAGUCCUUCAAGAAAGUACAUUUGCAAUACAGAGUGAUAAAAAACACACUGUUCCACCUGUUUUAAUUGAACUUAAUAGAUAAACCAGACUAAAAGUUUCCUCUCUGAUGAAAGCUUCAAAUGAGAGGUAUAAACAUGAGUGAACACAUAGGGAGUUUUAUAUAAUUAAACAGUUCCUGAGACUGUCACAGCAGUAAUAACUGUAGCUUCUUAGUACUCAGAUUUAUGUCAGUCAACAUAAUAUUAAGAUGUUCUUUGGUACAUAGAAAAAGCUUU
Long non-coding RNA from Aquila chrysaetos chrysaetos, 4444 nucleotides. RefSeq lists it as uncharacterized. The transcript has 4 exons. NCBI's taxonomy places the organism in Eukaryota, Metazoa, Chordata, Aves, Accipitriformes, Accipitridae. The record is from RefSeq and is a predicted model, not a curated record.